GCACCGCACAAACCCUACCCCCGAUCCAUAGGUGUUUCACCCUUUCUUCCCCUUUCCUCCCCUUCCCUUCAGCCGCCACACCUCCUCUCACGUGCUUGCCGCCGCCACGGCCUCGCUGCGCCCGCCACUAGAUCUGCGCCCUCGAGGGUGACGGCGAGCUGAAGACGAUGAGCAGCGGCGCGUGGGGUUCGUGCAGGUCCUCGGCUCGCCCGUACCUCACCAGUCCGCCGGGCAAGCAAGCCCGUGGGAGACGAGCGCACGGAGGUCAGCGGCAAGUGCUCCAGAGAGGAGAGAAGGCGGCACUCUAGGUGGCGGCGCUGGGCCAGCAAAAUCAGGUGGUGGCUGAGGUACACGAGAGCGAGGUGGUGCUGGAGCGCAUGGGGGCCGGCAGCAAGUCGCCGAAAGUGCACAACCACUCCGACGAGGUGGUGGUGGCCUGCUUGCCCAUGGUGAGCCAUUGUUCUUUGCUCCUCUCUUCUCAUGACAAGGUUUGACGGACACCGAAGCCGUCUGCUCCAUCCGCCAGCAUGCUCAUAAAGUGGGAGGGGAAGGAGGCCAACGACUAGGAGAAGGAGCAUGGAUCAUAAUCGAUGUUAUGGGUAAAACUGCUAACAAAUUGCUGCAUCAUCAUGGGUAAGGUGUCAAUACUACUAGGUAGGCAUAGUGAGUAUUCCACUUAUUAUGUUCACCUUGACACGCUUCAUGGAUUGUAUGAAUUACUUUAAAUAUGUAAACCUACUUUGCUGUAUGUUAGUUUUAGGAUGGCAACUUGCCUUUUUUUUCAUGCCUUGUUAACAGUUUUGGUUCUCACAGGGUUUGAGAUGUGUAGAUCCAGUUCGAAGGAUCAGUUGCAGGUGAGUAUGUAGUAUCCUUAUCUAUUUCAUAUGCUUGACUCCACUUUCAUUUUCCUAUGAUGUAUACAUCGGGCUCAGGGCUUUGGCCUGUUCCAUCCAAGGUGUAUCAUGCUUUAUCUGAAACUCAAGUCAUUUGAUGUUGUUGGGGCUUCUUUGAUCGACAUGAGAAAGAAGGCAUAUGUGAUUUUUUUUAGGCCAUCUGUCCAGGUAGUGACAUUCUAAUAUGCAAGGAAUGUGUUUAUUUGAUUUUUUUAUUCUGACAUACACUAAAGUAAUCAUGACCAUCAGUAAAAGGAACACAGUCAAAACAUGAUUAUAUUUUGUCUUGGUAUACCUCAUUUAGUUGUCAUUUGUAUAUUUCAAGGAAAUUAUUCAAUUUUUAGUUAUCUUUCCAUUGCUAUUUUCCCUUCUAUGCUUAUCGGAUGGGUAGACAAUCUUAUAAGGGGAUGCAAUGGAUUUUUGUAUUUUGGAUUCUCUGGACUGAAUGGGUUAUAUUUUUAACCCAUAAAAAUUACUUUGACUCCAAUAUGAUCAACUGUGACUCGGAAUAUUUUUCCCAAUAGUAUCGGACAACAUUGUAGGCACCCACCCUCCAAAGCAUACAUUUGCAUUAUCUUAUUUGAUUAUUGAACUAACUAUCAACGAUCAUGUAUAUAGACUUCCCGGAGAAAUAAACCAAGAUGGGUAUUAUCUCGUACACCACAAGGAACCUGCCCUCCUGCUCAGGUUCUGUAGCCAUGGCCCUCGAGUUAGCGGAGAAUGGUUAUGAUGAAGACUCUGAUUACGGUUCUUAGAUCCUAUGUGCCUGCUUUAUUAUUCUGCUGCUGUGAAACAGGCCUUGUCGCCACCUCACUUGUCAUCGUAGUCGUCCCUACCUCACUCCCCUCUGCCCUUGAGGCAAGGGUAUGUACCUUACUUAAUUCUUCACUGGAAAUUCUUUGAAUUGAUAUACAAGUAUUUCAAACACUUCAUCUAUUGGGGAGCUGCUAUAUUUUCCUCCUGUUGUCCGGCCAUCGCUUGAUCUUUGCGUUCCACUCGUUCCACUCCUCCUAUUGGUCAUAGUUUGCCUCUGCCUUGCUGUGUGCCAAAGACAGAUCCAGAAGAUAUGGUAACUACUGUUGAUGGAUUGAUUUUAUGUAUAACUCAUCUAUUCAUAAUUUUAUGUUAACUUAGUUGUUGUGUUUUUCUUUUCAAAUGCUUUUGUUUUAUGGGAGGCUGAGGGUUUUGGAAUUAUUUGUAUGGGUGAGUUCUUUUUCUGUAAGUGUAUUUUAUUUUAUAUGUUGCUGACUGUUUUUGUAAUUUAUUCUUGUUCUUUUAUGAAACCGAGAAGAAAGAAAAGAACAACGAGAAAUUGUUUAGCUAAAUAGGCAAAGCCGCUGAUGUUUACUUGCUGUUUGUUGUAGACCCUUGAUGGGUCAUGCUUUUGGCUACCUUUUGCGUUCCUUGACAUCAUCGAAGUUGAAACAAGAAGAAGAUGAUGAUGAAAUCUUGCCGAGAUCUGAGGAUGAAGAGAAGAUAUGGGUUAACUUUCAGAGUGAUUGAGUUGGUCAAAAAAUAUGAAGCACAUCAAAGGGGCUUGUUGCUUGGCUGCUAUGGAGAAGGGUAUUCUUUGAAGGAGUUGUAGACCUUUUGGAUAUAUGCUUCAAUUUGGACACUUUUUCAGUAUGUAUAUGAUAUGGGCAGGUUAAAGAGCCCCUGUUAUUUUUCUUGGCUUUUAUUUAGAAGGUGCCAUAUGAUGACCCAGUGCAUAGAAGCUCCCACACAAGGUGGGGUCUGGGGAGGGAUUAUAGGAACCUAGUCUUACCCCUGCAAAGUGCAAUGCAGAGAGGCUGGUUCGAACCCAGGACCUCUUGGCACAAGUGGGGAGGACUUCACCACUGCGCCAGGCCUGCCCUCAAACAUGAUAUCUACGUAUCUGAGAAUUUUUAUUUGUGGGAAAUGAAAAACUUAAUGUGGCUGGAGUUCUACGCGGAUUAAAUCUAAUUAUUCUUAUAUUUCAACUCCAAUGACUCGGCCUCACAUGUAGAAUGCGGUUUUGGGCAUGUGUUUCGGUUCAUUGGGUUUCGACGGAAUCAAAGGUCAGGAAAAAUAUAUAGGUGUUAGUUCAUUAUCUUUUCAGGUUUCUUAAUUAUUCAUACAUUUGCAUCUAUGUUACAGGUGCUAGCUUUCAUGGGUAGGAUUUUUUUAGCAUAUUCAAAUCUGUAUUAGAAUAAGGUUUCCCCCUUGGAUGUUCCUUAUGUAUCCAUAUAUUAGAUUUUUGUGUGGUUCAUUUGUUGCAAAUAUAUAAAUAAUAAUCUGAUUGACUAUAUGCAGAUUUGGUUUGAAAUCUUAAAGCAGUCUCUGACAAGUUGUAGGUGAAGAAGAUCAUGUCCUAGCAGUUAUAUGCACGUGGAGUACAUUUAUUGUAUGCAUUUUGUUUAGAAGUAUUCAGUUUCAUAGCAUAAUCAAGUGUUUUUCAAUACUCUCUCUCUCACACACACACAAUGUCUUUAAUUUCUGUUUUUUUAAUGUAUUGGCCUCUGAAUGAUCUGCAUGGUAUAUAUCUAUAUCGCUGAAUGACCUCGACUUGUACCUUUGUGGUUUGCAAACACUAAAACAUGUGUUGCUACAGAGUUAUCUUAGUUUUGACGUUGAUCGGUGCAGGUGGGUUCUCAUGGUAGGAUUUGAUCCACUCGGAUAUCAAUGGUACUGAUACUUAAGUUGGCUUUCUUUAAAAAAAUAAAGUAUGUUAUGUGUUAGUUUGGGCGCAAGCCUGUAUCAUGAAUACAUACUGCUCACAGUGCAUUUGCAUGAGAAGCCCUUCACAAGAAAAAACUAUACAUUCACAUUUUUUUUGCGGAAACUAUAUAUUUACUUAUUAUUCAGAGCUCACUGUAUGAAAUCCGAGUGGUGCUCAAGAUGUUAAUUAACUAGCUUUGUGAAUGGGGUGGUGAAAAAUACUGCUCACUUUAUUUGUUUGGUCGCAAGCCUAUAUCAUGUACACAUACUGCUCAAUUUAUUUGAACCUUCAGAAAAUAAAUCAAUUUGCUCAAGCCUUUCUGCUGUUGAUUCCAGUUCAUUGGAGUAACUUUAAUAUUUCUUCUCAUUGCAUCAAUUAACAUGAAUGCAAAAUAGAUUUGUUGUCUUAUGCUAUCCCGUAUCAGGGAUGAUGCCACUAAGUUGUUAUAAUUAUGCUUGUAGUCCUUGUCGGAGUUUGGGUACUGCACUUUAUAAUGCAAAGGAAUGGUAUAAACUAUAGCUGGUUCUUUCAUGUAGUAUGCCUUUUUCUAUAAUGUAAGUUAUGGAUGCGGUACUUCUUCGAAACCUUCAUAAUGCUUUUUGUCAUGCAACAACUUGCUAACAAGUCCUGGUCUGUUGCAGUUGAUUGCACAUGUGGAGUGCUUCUGGAUGCAUUUAUUGUCUCAUGUCACAAGGAUUUACAACUUUUACGAGAAUGCGGGUGUAGAGUAUUGAUAAUUCCAGAUGGUUCACUUCCUACAAUAGAGCACCCUACAGUACUAUCAAUUAUUCAGUCAGAGAACCACACUAUGCUGAAUAUAUUGGUGGAUCAGGUACAUCGAUAAGCACCCAAUGUUCAGUCAGAUGAAGAGAGUGAAAAUAUAUCGGUGGAUCAGGUACAUUGAUAAGCACCCAAUGUUCAGUCAGAUGAAGAGAGUGAAAACAGCGUUUACUCUGAAUUUUCAGACAGAGUGGCGAUGCAGCUGGAAGUUUGAGGCACUAGAUUCCCCCUGAUGGAGGAACAAUCAAGUUAAAUUUAGAUGCUUCAUUCUUUGCUGAGACUUGGAGGAGCUAUAUCGGGGCCAUCGCCGGGGAUCUUUUUUUGGUGUUUCUUCUAUUUAUCCAAGAGCAUUGACAAAUGUAGUUCCUUGGAAGAGGCUGAGGCUCAGGCGAUGCUAGAUGGAUUGACAGCUCUGACAUCUAUGUACAACAAUGUCUGUUUCCCAACUUCAUGCGACAUUAAGACCAGCUCUUCUUCUGUUCUUGUCCAAGUCCGGGCAGCAGAACCAGUAUACCAUCGCCCAUGCCCUUGGUGUGUGUGUGCCAGAACUAAAGAGAACAUACUCAAGAUUGCAGAUAUCCCAGCGGAGUUACAUGGGGCAGUUAAAUCUGAUUGUAAACAAGGUUCCCGAGUAGUUUCUACUCUGUAUCUAAAACAUGCAUCCGAUGGAAAAAACUUUUAAUAUUGUGAUGUAUUUCAGGAAGCGGAUUAGGAGCACUCGGGUGCUCUACCCCCCUGUGUAGCACCCGAGAGCUCCUAUGCAUUUUCGUGCAUUUCA
Molecule: long non-coding RNA, 5131 nt
Organism: Triticum dicoccoides
Lineage: Eukaryota; Viridiplantae; Streptophyta; Magnoliopsida; Poales; Poaceae
Exons: 9
Source: RefSeq, a predicted model, not a curated record